AUUGAACGCUGGCGGCAUGCCUUACACAUGCAAGUCGAACGGCAGCACGGGUGCUUGCACCUGGUGGCGAGUGGCGAACGGGUGAGUAAUACAUCGGAACAUGUCCUGUAGUGGGGGAUAGCCCGGCGAAAGCCGGAUUAAUACCGCAUACGAUCUACGGAUGAAAGCGGGGGACCUUCUGGCCUCGCGCUUUAGGGUUGGCCGAUGGCUGAUUAGCUAGUUGGUGGGGUAAAGGCCUACCAAGGCGACGAUCAGUAGCUGGUCUGAGAGGACGACCAGCCACACUGGGACUGAGACACGGCCCAGACUCCUACGGGAGGCAGCAGUGGGGAAUUUUGGACAAUGGGCGAAAGCCUGAUCCAGCAAUGCCGCGUGUGUGAAGAAGGCCUUCGGGUUGUAAAGCACUUUUGUCCGGAAAGAAAUCCUUGGCUCUAAUACAGUCGGGGGAUGACGGUACCGGAAGAAUAAGCACCGACUAACUACGUG
Molecule: ribosomal RNA, 486 nt
Filed under: uncultured bacterium
Lineage: Bacteria
Description: partial 16S ribosomal RNA
Rfam family: Bacterial small subunit ribosomal RNA
Source: RNAcentral